RNAcentral lists this ribosomal RNA (253 nucleotides) under uncultured bacterium. RNAcentral describes it as "partial 16S ribosomal RNA". It matches the Rfam family "Bacterial small subunit ribosomal RNA", at positions 524 to 776 of the family's 1533-position model. The record is from RNAcentral.
UACGUAGGGUGCAAGCGUUAAUCGGAAUUACUGGGCGUAAAGCGUACGCAGGCGGCCAUGCAAGACAGGUGUGAAAUCCCCGGGCCUAACCUGGGAACUGCAUUUGUGACUGCAUGGCUAGAGUCUGUCAGAGGGGGGUGGAAUUCCACGUGUAGCAGUGAAAUGCGUAGAGAUGUGGAAGAACACCGAUGGCGAAGGCAGCCCCCUGGGAUAAGACUGACGCUCAGGUACGAAAGCGUGGGGAGCAAACAGG